This is a non-coding RNA of Choloepus didactylus (southern two-toed sloth), 463 nucleotides long. The record is from the annotation of a RefSeq genome assembly. Lineage: Eukaryota; Metazoa; Chordata; Mammalia; Pilosa; Megalonychidae.
UGGGAGAGAAAAGGAGGCUGGGGCAGCCCAGCUCCACUGUGGGCCACACAGGGCUGUGUCCACCAUGGCCUGGACCCCUCUCCUCCUCAUGCUCCUCUCUCACUGCACAGGUUCCCUCUCCCAGCCUGUGGUGACCCAGCCACCCUCCCUCUCUGCAUCUCUGGGAUCCUCUGUGAGACUCACCUGCACCCUCAGCAGUGGCCUCAGUGUUGGUGGCUACUACAUAAACUGGUACCAGCAGAAGCCAGGGAGCCCUCCCCGGUAUCUCCUGUACUACUACUCAGACUCAAACAAGCACCAGGGCUCCGGGGUCCCCAGCCGCUUCUCUGGAUCCAAAGACACCUCGGCCAAUGCUGGCCUUCUGCUCAUCUCUGGGCUCCAGGCUGAAGAUGAGGCUGACUAUUACUGUUUGAUCUGGCACAGCAGUGCUGCUCACAGUGACACAGGCCAAUGGGGAAGUUGA